This 650-nucleotide long non-coding RNA is filed under the name Calidris pugnax (ruff). RNAcentral describes it as "lncRNA (ENSCPUG00000001038.1)". Lineage: Eukaryota; Metazoa; Chordata; Aves; Charadriiformes; Scolopacidae. The record is from RNAcentral.
AUGAAGGAAACCCCUCGGUCCCCAGCAUCUCGGCGGCAGCACCGGGAAGCCGUGGUUGUGACUCCUGAUCCUCAGGUCUCUGAUGGAAGCACCCGAGAAUGGGUCCCGGGGAUUAAGGAGGAAGCAGAGGGUUUUGGUGAAGCAGACUCUGUUCUACGGAGGUGGGAAGGGAGAUCAGAGGAGCAGAGAGUGCUUGGUAUGGAUGACGUUCAGACCCAAGAGCAGCAGAGGCCAUGGAAGGUCAUGGAAGUGGACCCACAAGGCUCAGCAGCGUGGUGGGGCAAUGAACGUGACUCUACUUGGUUGUCUCAGCAAGUGGUGUGACACCAUUUCUUCUGAUAGCAUGACAGCUGAGAUUUUCUGAGGCACCUGAGGCAGGCAGCACCCGGAGAGCAAGAUUUUCUCAAUGAAGUGUGUUUUUUGCUCUGAUUUUCCUCUGCUGCUAUUACAGGCCAUGGACUUCAUGAACUGCAGCCCCUCCUCCAUCCUGUCUUUUAUGUGCAGCUCAGUUUUGGAGUUCGGAAGGCUUUUUGUGUGUUGAUUUUGUGCCCAUAUUGGAUACAUUUUAAAAAUACUUCUAAAUAUCUCUGCUUCUCGUAGAUAACUUUUGAUGGGGACAUUUGGAAAUAAAUGUGAACAAAUGCUGAACA